Molecule: unclassified non-coding RNA, 299 nt
Filed under: Anomalocera patersoni
Lineage: Eukaryota; Metazoa; Arthropoda; Copepoda; Calanoida; Pontellidae
Description: partial contains 5.8S rRNA, ITS2 and 28S rRNA
Source: RNAcentral
AUCGACACUUUGAACGCAUAUUGCAGGCCUGUGCUUGUCACAGGCCUACCCUUGUGUCAGGGUCGGUUAUACAACAUCCAUCAAGAUGCUUGCAUCUUGCAUUGUCUGGUCGGCUGCCCUAGGUGGACCGCUAGAUUAAGGUGUAUCCUGCAGGCGUGACUUGCUUCAACUCUUGGGACUCAACUCCCGGGUUGGUAGCGCAGUCCCUGCUCACGGGUACAGGUGUGUGAGGAGCUGACUGACAUUUCAUCCUCUUUCGUCACCGACCAUUAACUUUUCGACCUGACAUCAAGGGAGAC